GCGCUCGCUUCAGUAGCACAUAUACUAAAAUUGUAAUGAUACAGAGAUUAGCAUGGCCCCUUAAAAAAAGUCACCCUAUGGCUUGUUAAAACACACAUUCCU
This is a small nuclear RNA of Homo sapiens (human), 102 nucleotides long. NCBI's taxonomy places the organism in Eukaryota, Metazoa, Chordata, Mammalia, Primates, Hominidae. The record is from Ensembl.